GAUGAACGCUGGCGGCGUGCCUAAUACAUGCAAGUCGAGCGAACAGACGAGGAGCUUGCUCCUCUGACGUUAGCAGCGGACGGGUGAGUAACACGUGGAUAACCUACCUAUAAGGCUGGGAUAACUUCGGGAAACCGGAGCUAAUACCGGAUAAUAUAUUGAACCGCAUGGUUCAAUAGUGAAAGACGGUUUUGCUGUCACUUAUAGAUGGAUCCGCGCCGCAUUAGCUAGUUGGUAAGGUAACGGCUUACCAAGGCAACGAUGCGUAGCCGACCUGAGAGGGUGAUCGGCCACACUGGAACUGAGACACGGUCCAGACUCCUACGGGAGGCAGCAGUAGGGAAUCUUCCGCAAUGGGCGAAAGCCUGACGGAGCAACGCCGCGUGAGUGAUGAAGGUCUUCGGAUCGUAAAACUCUGUUAUUAGGGAAGAACAAAUGUGUAAGUAACUAUGCACGUCUUGACGGUACCUAAUCAGAAAGCCACGGCUAACUACGUG
Molecule: ribosomal RNA, 497 nt
Filed under: uncultured bacterium
Lineage: Bacteria
Description: partial 16S ribosomal RNA
Rfam family: Bacterial small subunit ribosomal RNA
Source: RNAcentral